Rhododendron vialii is the source of this 3582-nucleotide RNA transcript. It is a transcript of the gene named cyclin-dependent kinase G-2-like, with no coding region annotated. The record is from RefSeq and is a predicted model, not a curated record. The transcript is spliced from 10 exons. Lineage: Eukaryota; Viridiplantae; Streptophyta; Magnoliopsida; Ericales; Ericaceae.
UUUAUGCUGUUAGGAGCUGUUAAAAUACAUUUUUGAGUUGUUGUACGCUGUGUUUGCGUUCUCAAUUGUAUUAAUUUGUUAUCAGAUCUGUGGUUGGUUCGAUCUGGUGUCUCGAAUUGUGUUCUCUCGAAUUUAGGGCACGAAAGAAUAAAAAGAAAUUGUUUUGGGUUUUUUUGAGUGAUUGUUAGGGUUUCUUUUUAUGGAAUAAUAAUAAUCAAAAUACGGAGAAGUUGUUGUUCGGGGUAGUUGCAGGGGGGAGUGUGAAGGGUAAGCGAAUUUAGAGGAAAAUUUGAAAAUUUCUGUGGGGAGUGCUAGGGAUUGGAUACAUAUGGCAGCAGGUAGACGCGGGGAUUAUCAGGAUAGCAAGUUGAGUGAGCGGGAGUCUGAUUUUGCAGCUUCGAGGCGGAACUUUUUGCGGGGUGAGUAUGAUGGAAUUAGAAAUGGUGAUCGUGACCGUGAGAGCGUUCGGGAUCAUGACCGGGGGUCGAGGGAUAAUAGGGUUAGAGUUAGGCAGAAAGAUAUUAAGGAGAGGGAUGCUAUUAAUGGUGGUUAUCGCUCUGCUUCGAGUAGGAGUGAUUCAGGUGCCAGUGAGGGUGGUCCGAGGCGGUGUGAGUUUUUGGUAAGACCUGUGGACCGUGAGCCGGGUGAAUUGUCGAGCGAAAGUGGUUCUGAUGAGGCUAUUGAUUCUGGAUUAGUUAAAACAAUCGGGGGUUCUAAUUUAGAGAAUUGGACUCAGUCACAUGCUGAAAGUAAGAAGAGGAAGUUUUCACCAAUUGUUUGGGAUAGAGAUGGUAAGGAUACAUUAAAUGGAGGAACUGCCCCAGCUACCACUCGUGUCCCUCGCCCAACAUCGCUGCUCAAGUCCUACCGUCAAUCACCUAAUGGUAUUCCACUUGGGGUUGUCGAAAUUUCUCCACUGAAGGAUCGAAAUCGUCAAUAUUCAGAACCUUUGCCAGACAAGCCUCCUGUGGAGCUUGGCUCACCCAUGGUUGAUGUAACUGAUUCCCCAGUAGAUUUACCUACUUCUCCACUUAAGGAGCAGCAAUGGGGUAAAUUUCAUGAAUCGGAACAUUUAGAUGAUCAAGUUUACUCUUCUGCACGGAAUAUCUCAGCCUCGAGAUGGGCAGAUGAUGCCAAUUCCCCAGCUGAUGAAGGUGAAAUAUAUGAUGAAGAAAUGCCUAGGAGGAAGAAGGAAACACGUCUUUCUAAGUCAGACGAGUUGAGGAUACGGAGUAAAUCAUUAACUCCCGAACCCGGGGAACUUAAUAGAGAAGCACAUGGAGGAACUAGGGCGAGAUCAGCGGAAACUGACGAAGAAAGAUACUGUGUUAGAUCUUCUGGCAGAGAUAAUUACCCGGCCAGUGAUUCUGACAAGAAUGAUUACAUGGAGAUAGAUGACAAUCAUGAUAAGAAUGGCACUAAUUUCAGCCAAUCAGAUACAGAUUCUGGGGAUGAACAUGAUUCUCAUGGUACCCCAGAGCCUGUGGUCCCACCAAAAAGAACAGUAAACAUGCUUGAGGAGUGUAGAAGUGUUAAUGUUUUUGAGAGAUUGAACAAGAUUGACGAAGGAACUUAUGGGGUUGUUUAUAGAGCCAAAGAUAGGGACACAGGAGCUAUUGUUGCAUUGAAGAAGGUCAAGAUGGAAAAAGAAAGAGAAGGUUUUCCUUUGACUGCUUUGCGGGAAAUAAACAUCCUCCUUUCUUUUCAUCACCCAUCUAUUGUGGAUGUUAAGGAAGUUGUGGUUGGGAGCAAUCUUGAUAGUAUCUUUAUGGUGAUGGAAUACAUGGACCAUGAUCUUAAGGGGUUGAUGGAGACAAUGAAGCGGCCAUAUAGUCAGAGUGAAGUUAAAUGCCUAAUGCUUCAGCUAUUGGAGGGUGUCAGGUAUCUUCAUGACAACUGGGUGCUUCACAGAGAUUUGAAGACAUCAAAUUUGCUUUUAAAUAAUAGUGGUGAGUUAAAGAUCUGUGACUUUGGGUUGGCUCGUCAAUAUGGGAGCCCAUUGAAGCCAUAUACUCAUUUGGUGGUGACUUUGUGGUAUAGGGCGCCAGAGCUGUUGUUGGGAGCGAAGCAAUAUUCUACAGCUAUUGACAUGUGGUCGUUGGGCUGUAUAAUGGCUGAACUGUUAUCGAAGGAACCAUUGUUUAAUGGGAAAACAGAAUUUGAUCAGCUUGACAAGAUUUUCAGAACCCUUGGUACGCCAAAUGAGACUAUCUGGCCUGGGUUUUCCAAACUUCCGGGAGUUAAGGUGAACUUUGUCAAGCACCAGUAUAACCUAUUACGUAAGAAAUUUCCUGCUACAUCUUUCACUGGAUCACCAGUUCUAUCUGAUGCUGGAUUUGACUUGUUGAACAAACUUCUGACUUAUGACCCAGAGAAGCGAAUAACAGCUGAAGAUGCUCUUAAGCAUGAGUGGUUCCGUGAAGUUCCACUUCCAAAGUCUAAAGAGUUCAUGCCUACUUUUCCAGCUCAACAUGAGCAUGACAGGCGUUCGCGGAGGAUGAGGAAGAGUCCAGAUCCUCUAGAGGAGCAGCGUCGGAAGGAGUUGCAGCAAGGGGAAUUAGGGACUGGUGGCUUGUUCGGCUGUGAGUAAGAUUGUAACUGGAGGCCUUUGAUUUCUGUAACAGCUUUUAAUGAUUCUCUCAAAAUGACAUGAUGGGUCUAUUGAGAUAUGUAGCAGGUUGAUGACGGUUCUCCAGCCUUGGCCACCAUAUAGAAAUGCAUUCCUCACACUGCUUGCAUUGCAAGGUGUGGCAAAUGGCCUCCCUUUUAGGAAAAGUUUCACUCGAAACUCAUCGUAUUCUGUUUGCAAGAGACAGUUGGUGUGGUUUAAGGUGGAGGGGGGACGUUCUUAGCUUUUGAUUGACAAAGAAUCUGACCAGAACUAUUUGACAUGGAAGGUUUUCUCCUGAUUGUUGUGCUGUAAUAAUGCUCACCAGUUUGUGGAGGCUAGUGUUUUAUGAUCUAGAUGCUGGUUAGUAGCGAACAUCCUCAUACAUGAUCUCUUCAUGUAAAUUUUCCUAGCUGUCUUGUUGGUCCUUUUGAAGCUUCUUGUGUUGUCUAUAGAAGAGACGUGUGAAGCGUGCUGACCCCUUAAAUAGGCAUGGGAAGCACGGAAGAUCAGCUGUAAGCUUUGUGACUCCAAUCCCUUCUUAUUGUUUUCCCCUUCGGUUGGCAUUUAUGGUAUGGUAAAUUGUAGGUUUACUAGCCCCAGUUCUUUCAUGACAUUUGGAUGCAAAUGUCACUACAGUAUGAAAGCAAGCAGGUUGAGGAGGUUGUACGGAAUGGAAUACAUGGCAUUUUGCAAUUAUGUGUUCCCUUCAAGCAAAAUAGAGGUCUCAACAUGUUUAUCCUCAAUGCAGAAAAUCUGGCUUACCGGAUGCCGGUAUCUAUUUGAACAAAUUGUAUUUGUUAGAAGAGAAAUUUCUUCUCUUAAACCGUUUAGUUUAGAGAACGAAAUGCAAAUUGUUUAUGCGAGCCUGUAUGUAGGCUCCACAUAUUUAUAGGAGUAUGUGUUACUGAGCGGAAAUAGAACUAAAAUCUGUUUCUUGGUGAGUGAAUAGGAUUGCAGGCUAUCCAUUAUUA